CCUACGGGAGGCAGCAGUGGGGAAUAUUGGACAAUGGGCGGAAGCCUGAUCCAGCCAUGCCGCGUGUGUGAAGAAGGCCUUUUGGUUGUAAAGCACUUUAAGCGAGGAGGAGGCUACUAGUAUUAAUACUACUGGAUAGUGGACGUUACUCGCAGAAUAAGCACCGGCUAACUCUGUGCCAGCAGCCGCGGUAAUACAGAGGGUGCGAGCGUUAAUCGGAUUUACUGGGCGUAAAGCGUGCGUAGGCGGCUGAUUAAGUCGGAUGUGAAAUCCCUGAGCUUAACUUAGGAAUUGCAUUCGAUACUGGUCAGCUAGAGUAUGGGAGAGGAUGGUAGAAUUCCAGGUGUAGCGGUGAAAUGCGUAGAGAUCUGGAGGAAUACCGAUGGCGAAGGCAGCCAUCUGGCCUAAUACUGACGCUGAGGUACGAAAGCAUGGGGAGCAAACAGGAUUAGAUACCCUGGUAGUCCAUGCCGUAAACGAUGUCUACUAGCCGUUGGGGUCUUUGAGACUUUAGUGGCGCAGCUAACGCGAUAAGUAGACCGCCUGGGGAGUACGGUCGCAAGACUAAAACUCAAAAGUAGUAGUUAGGACGUUGAGGACGAGCGACCGGACGGACACCGAGGGGAAGGGGUUAAGGGGAGGG
Molecule: ribosomal RNA, 643 nt
Filed under: uncultured bacterium
Lineage: Bacteria
Description: bacterial SSU rRNA
Rfam family: Bacterial small subunit ribosomal RNA
Source: RNAcentral